GAAUAUUAGAUUGCAAAUUUCCUGAAGGCAGGAAUGGUAUCUUAGUCAUUAUUCAUCCCUACAUCCCCCUCAAGGCCAUCACAUUUACUUGUCCAAGCAUGGUGCUCAGUAAGUGCUGAAGACAUGAAUGAAUCCAUGAUCCUUCAGAAGGUAGCAUUACCUUUAUAGAAUCGAGAAUGAUAUCCACAAGUGUGAUCUCACUGAGACUGUGGCACCUUUCUCUUCACUUACCACCCACUGACAAGCAUCACUGGCUUUGCUGCAUAUUAAAAUUCCCCAUUUGAUUUA
This is a non-coding RNA of Monodelphis domestica (gray short-tailed opossum), 288 nucleotides long. The record is from RefSeq and is a predicted model, not a curated record. Lineage: Eukaryota; Metazoa; Chordata; Mammalia; Didelphimorphia; Didelphidae.